This 476-nucleotide ribosomal RNA is filed under the name Escherichia coli. RNAcentral describes it as "bacterial SSU rRNA". It matches the Rfam family "Bacterial small subunit ribosomal RNA", at positions 1 to 473 of the family's 1533-position model. The record is from RNAcentral. Lineage: Bacteria; Pseudomonadati; Pseudomonadota; Gammaproteobacteria; Enterobacterales; Enterobacteriaceae.
AAAUUGAAGAGUUUGAUCAUGGCUCAGAUUGAACGCUGGCGGCAGGCCUAACACAUGCAAGUCGAACGGUAACAGGAAGCAGCUUGCUGCUUUGCUGACGAGUGGCGGACGGGUGAGUAAUGUCUGGGAAACUGCCUGAUGGAGGGGGAUAACUACUGGAAACGGUAGCUAAUACCGCAUAAUGUCGCAAGACCAAAGAGGGGGACCUUCGGGCCUCUUGCCAUCGGAUGUGCCCAGAUGGGAUUAGCUAGUAGGUGGGGUAAAGGCUCACCUAGGCGACGAUCCCUAGCUGGUCUGAGAGGAUGACCAGCCACACUGGAACUGAGACACGGUCCAGACUCCUACGGGAGGCAGCAGUGGGGAAUAUUGCACAAUGGGCGCAAGCCUGAUGCAGCCAUGCCGCGUGUAUGAAGAAGGCCUUCGGGUUGUAAAGUACUUUCAGCGGGGAGGAAGGGAGUAAAGUUAAUACCUUUGCU